RNAcentral lists this ribosomal RNA (1766 nucleotides) under Escherichia coli. Its description in RNAcentral is "partial 23S ribosomal RNA". It matches the Rfam family "Bacterial large subunit ribosomal RNA", at positions 418 to 2167 of the family's 2925-position model. The record is from RNAcentral. RNAcentral also lists the same sequence under 1 other name. Lineage: Bacteria; Pseudomonadati; Pseudomonadota; Gammaproteobacteria; Enterobacterales; Enterobacteriaceae.
CGGGACACGUGGUAUCCUGUCUGAAUAUGGGGGGACCAUCCUCCAAGGCUAAAUACUCCUGACUGACCGAUAGUGAACCAGUACCGUGAGGGAAAGGCGAAAAGAACCCCGGCGAGGGGAGUGAAAAAGAACCUGAAACCGUGUACGUACAAGCAGUGGGAGCACAGAGCAAUCUGUGUGACUGCGUACCUUUUGUAUAAUGGGUCAGCGACUUAUAUUCUGUAGCAAGGUUAACCGAAUAGGGGAGCCGAAGGGAAACCGAGUCUUAACUGGGCGUUAAGUUGCAGGGUAUAGACCCGAAACCCGGUGAUCUAGCCAUGGGCAGGUUGAAGGUUGGGUAACACUAACUGGAGGACCGAACCGACUAAUGUUGAAAAAUUAGCGGAUGACUUGUGGCUGGGGGUGAAAGGCCAAUCAAACCGGGAGAUAGCUGGUUCUCCCCGAAAGCUAUUUAGGUAGCGCCUCGUGAAUUCAUCUCCGGGGGUAGAGCACUGUUUCGGCAAGGGGGUCAUCCCGACUUACCAACCCGAUGCAAACUGCGAAUACCGGAGAAUGUUAUCACGGGAGACACACGGCGGGUGCUAACGUCCGUCGUGAAGAGGGAAACAACCCAGACCGCCAGCUAAGGUCCCAAAGUCAUGGUUAAGUGGGAAACGAUGUGGGAAGGCCCAGACAGCCAGGAUGUUGGCUUAGAAGCAGCCAUCAUUUAAAGAAAGCGUAAUAGCUCACUGGUCGAGUCGGCCUGCGCGGAAGAUGUAACGGGGCUAAACCAUGCACCGAAGCUGCGGCAGCGACGCUGAUGCGUUGUUGGGUAGGGGAGCGUUCUGUAAGCCUGUGAAGGUGUGCUGUGAGGCAUGCUGGAGGUAUCAGAAGUGCGAAUGCUGACAUAAGUAACGAUAAAGCGGGUGAAAAGCCCGCUCGCCGGAAGACCAAGGGUUCCUGUCCAACGUUAAUCGGGGCAGGGUGAGUCGACCCCUAAGGCGAGGCCGAAAGGCGUAGUCGAUGGGAAACAGGUUAAUAUUCCUGUACUUGGUGUUACUGCGAAGGGGGGACGGAGAAGGCUAUGUUGGCCGGGCGACGGUUGUCCCGGUUUAAGCGUGUAGGCUGGUUUUCCAGGCAAAUCCGGAAAAUCAAGGCUGAGGCGUGAUGACGAGGCACUACGGUGCUGAAGCAACAAAUGCCCUGCUUCCAGGAAAAGCCUCUAAGCAUCAGGUAACAUCAAAUCGUACCCCAAACCGACACAGGUGGUCAGGUAGAGAAUACCAAGGCGCUUGAGAGAACUCGGGUGAAGGAACUAGGCAAAAUGGUGCCGUAACUUCGGGAGAAGGCACGCUGAUAUGUAGGUGAAGUCCCUCGCGGAUGGAGCUGAAAUCAGUCGAAGAUACCAGCUGGCUGCAACUGUUUAUUAAAAACACAGCACUGUGCAAACACGAAAGUGGACGUAUACGGUGUGACGCCUGCCCGGUGCCGGAAGGUUAAUUGAUGGGGUCAGCGCAAGCGAAGCUCUUGAUCGAAGCCCCGGUAAACGGCGGCCGUAACUAUAACGGUCCUAAGGUAGCGAAAUUCCUUGUCGGGUAAGUUCCGACCUGCACGAAUGGCGUAAUGAUGGCCAGGCUGUCUCCACCCGAGACUCAGUGAAAUUGAACUCGCUGUGAAGAUGCAGUGUACCCGCGGCAAGACGGAAAGACCCCGUGAACCUUUACUAUAGCUUGACACUGAACAUUGAGCCUUGAUGUGUAGGAUAGGUGGGAGGCUUUGAAGUGUGG